Molecule: ribosomal RNA, 491 nt
Filed under: uncultured bacterium
Lineage: Bacteria
Description: partial 16S ribosomal RNA
Rfam family: Bacterial small subunit ribosomal RNA
Source: RNAcentral
AGUGAACGCUGGCGGUAGGCCUAACACAUGCAAGUCGAACGGCAGCACAGUAAGAGCUUGCUCUUACGGGUGGCGAGUGGCGGACGGGUGAGGAAUACAUCGGAAUCUACUUUUUCGUGGGGAUAACGUAGGGAACCUUACGCUAAUACCCCAUACGACCUACGGGUGAAAGCAGGGGAUCUUCGGACCUUGCGCGAUUGAAUGAGCCGAUGUCGGAUUAGCUAGUUGGCGGGGUAAAGGCCCACCAAGGCGACGAUCCGUAGCUGGUCUGAGAGGAUGAUCAGCCACACUGGAACUGAGACACGGUCCAGACUCCUACGGGAGGCAGCAGUGGGGAAUAUUGGACAAUGGGCGCAAGCCUGAUCCAGCCAUACCGCGUGGGUGAAGAAGGCCUUCGGGUUGUAAAGCCCUUUUGUUGGGAAAGAAAAGCAGCAGGUUAAUACCCCUCUGUUCUGACGGUACCCAAAGAAUAAGCACCGGCUAACUUCGUG